UGCUGUCCAGCAACAUGGCUUCUUGUUCCAGCUGUGACACUGCAUUUGAGGACUCCAUGAGGGAAUCGCUCGUCCUCACACGGAACAGCUGCUCCACGUUCUGAACAAGGGUGAAAACCUCAUCAGAUGGACGUUGCCUCAUUAGAUCCUCCACGUGAGCCCGGUCACAACUGGCCCUUGGCAGUCUGGUCCCUGGAGCACCUGACCCUGGCAAACUGGCCUCUUCAUAGCUGACCCCUGACUGACUGGCUCCUGGCACACUGAUCUCUGGUGUGGUCAUCAUUCCUGACAGCUGGAGGCAUACUCCUUGACGUGGAUGUCCUCCUUUUCGGCUUAGGCCGAUGUAUAAAUACUGUUGGAACAGCAUCUGGCCUCAACCUCAAAUUUCCUCCUGAUUUGUUGCCAAUAUAUUGGUCGUCUUCAAAGUGUACCUGUAGGUAGGUAGGUUUGAUCAGUUUCCA
Gymnodraco acuticeps is the source of this 461-nucleotide long non-coding RNA. RefSeq lists it as uncharacterized. The record is from RefSeq and is a predicted model, not a curated record. The transcript is spliced from 3 exons. NCBI's taxonomy places the organism in Eukaryota, Metazoa, Chordata, Actinopteri, Perciformes, Bathydraconidae.